AUAACUUCUUGGCCUUUUGGCGAAGAUCAAGUGUAGUAUCUGUUCUUAUCAGUUUAAUAUCUGAUAUGUCCUCUAUCCUAGGACAAUAUAUUAAAUGGAUUUCUAGAGCAGGGAGAUAGAAUAGGAGCUUGCUCCGUCCACUGCACACAUUGGCCUAGUAUUGCAGUACUGCCAGGAAUGGUGCACACAGA
This 191-nucleotide small nuclear RNA is filed under the name Echinops telfairi (small Madagascar hedgehog). Its description in RNAcentral is "U2 spliceosomal RNA (ENSETEG00000022272.1)". It matches the Rfam family "U2 spliceosomal RNA". Rfam says of the family: U2 is a small nuclear RNA (snRNA) component of the spliceosome (involved in pre-mRNA splicing). Complementary binding between U2 snRNA (in an area lying towards the 5' end but 3' to hairpin I) and the branchpoint sequence (BPS) of the intron results the bulging out of an unpaired adenosine, on the BPS, which initiates a nucleophilic attack at the intronic 5' splice site, thus starting the first of two transesterification reactions that mediate splicing. Lineage: Eukaryota; Metazoa; Chordata; Mammalia; Afrosoricida; Tenrecidae. The record is from RNAcentral.